Molecule: ribosomal RNA, 468 nt
Filed under: uncultured bacterium
Lineage: Bacteria
Description: partial 16S ribosomal RNA
Rfam family: Bacterial small subunit ribosomal RNA
Source: RNAcentral
GACGAACGCUGGCGGCGUGCUUAACACAUGCAAGUCGAACGGAAAGGCCCUGCUUUUGUGGGGUGCUCGAGUGGCGAACGGGUGAGUAACACGUGAGUAACCUGCCCUUGACUUUGGGAUAACUUCAGGAAACUGGGGCUAAUACCGGAUAGGAGCUCCUGCUGCAUGGUGGGGGUUGGAAAGUUUCGGCGGUUGGGGAUGGACUCGCGGCUUAUCAGCUUGUUGGUGGGGUAGUGGCUUACCAAGGCUUUGACGGGUAGCCGGCCUGAGAGGGUGACCGGCCACAUUGGGACUGAGGUACGGCCCAGACUCCUACGGGAGGCAGCAGUGGGGAAUAUUGCACAGUGGGCGGAAGCCUGAUGCAGCAACGCCGCGUGCGGUAUGACGGCCUUCGGGUUGUAAACCGCUUUCGCCUGUGACGAAGCGUGAGUGACGGUAAUGGGUAAAGAAGCACCGGCUAACUACGUG